AACCACUGUAGCAACAGAAAAAAAUCACCCUGCUCAGAGAUGUGAUGUCUCCUACGUCCAUACCUUGUACAGGAAGCACAGACAGAAAAAUGGAUAUACACCAAGCUCCUUAACAAAAUGUGGGACUAGACUUUGGAGGUGAUGUAGAGAUCUAUGCCUGUUAUACACCAGCAGAGGACAAUGCUAUCUACAUGAAUAAUCAGAAGAAAUGGAGCAAGACCACUGAACUCACAAGAUGACUUAAGUUAAAUGACUCCUUUUUAGGAUGAAAACAUGAAGUGACACCCUACCUCUAAUCCAUGUGGUGAGAUCUUCAGGUAUUC
Phalacrocorax carbo (great cormorant) is the source of this 323-nucleotide non-coding RNA. The record is from RefSeq and is a predicted model, not a curated record. NCBI's taxonomy places the organism in Eukaryota, Metazoa, Chordata, Aves, Suliformes, Phalacrocoracidae.